Molecule: ribosomal RNA, 151 nt
Filed under: uncultured bacterium
Lineage: Bacteria
Description: partial 16S ribosomal RNA
Rfam family: Bacterial small subunit ribosomal RNA
Source: RNAcentral
UGGGGAAUAUUGCACAAUGGGCGCAAGCCUGAUGCAGCGACGCCGCGUGCGGGAUGGAGGCCUGGGUUGUAAACCGCUUUGUUCAAGGGCAAGGCAGGCUUUCGGGCCUGUUGAGUGGAUUGUUCGAAUAAGCACCGGCUAACUACGUGCC